Molecule: ribosomal RNA, 253 nt
Filed under: uncultured bacterium
Lineage: Bacteria
Description: partial 16S ribosomal RNA
Rfam family: Bacterial small subunit ribosomal RNA
Source: RNAcentral
UACGGAGGGUGCAAGCGUUAUCCGGAUUUACUGGGUUUAAAGGGUGCGCAGGCGGAUAUGUAAGUCAGUGGUGAAAUCUCCGGGCUUAACCCGGAAAUUGCCGUUGAUACUAUAUAUCUUGAAUGCUGUGGAGGUAAGCAGAAUAUGUCAUGUAGCGGUGAAAUGCUUAGAGAUGACAUAGAAUACCUAUUGCGAAGGCAGCUUACUACGCAUAUAUUGACGCUGAGGCACGAAAGCGUGGGGAUCAAACAGG